RNAcentral lists this ribosomal RNA (292 nucleotides) under uncultured prokaryote. RNAcentral describes it as "partial 16S ribosomal RNA". It matches the Rfam family "Bacterial small subunit ribosomal RNA", at positions 505 to 796 of the family's 1533-position model. The record is from RNAcentral.
GUGUCAGCCGCCGCGGUAAUACGUAGGUGGCAAGCGUUAUCCGGAAUUAUUGGGCGUAAAGCGCGCGCAGGUGGUUUCUUAAGUCUGAUGUGAAAGCCCACGGCUCAACCGUGGAGGGUCAUUGGAAACUGGGAGACUUGAGUGCAGAAGAGGAGAGUGGAAUUCCAUGUGUAGCGGUGAAGUGCGUAGAUAUAUGGAGGAACACCAGUGGCGAAGGCGGCUCUCUGGUCUGUAACUGACGCUGAGGCUCGAAAGCGUGGGGAGCAAACAGGAUUAGAAACCCCCGUAGUCC